Mauremys reevesii (Reeves's turtle) is the source of this 249-nucleotide long non-coding RNA. RefSeq lists it as uncharacterized. NCBI's taxonomy places the organism in Eukaryota, Metazoa, Chordata, Testudines, Geoemydidae. The transcript has 2 exons. The record is from RefSeq and is a predicted model, not a curated record.
CAUGGCUUAACGCACACAGACUUGGUCAUUGCUAAUGCCCUCUCUCACUAUCUGGGCUCGUGGAAUGUGACCUCCAACCCAGCUAGACGCCACCCAGGUUGCAUCAAAAUAUGAAGAGGUGCAGUGAUGGCUGCCUGUGUCCGCAGGCAUGCUGAUACUACAGCUUUGAUUGCAGAGUGAACUGUUCCCAUUCAUGGCCAAGGGGCGCUAACAGGAAAGUCUGAUGACAAAUUAAAAUGUCAACUUUAA